AACCACGACAUUGGGCUUAAUAACCGAACCAAAGUCCUAAUUACAUUUUAGGCCCAUCCACAUAUCUCAGGUCUCUAGGGUUUCCUAUAUACAGCAUCCAAAACCCUAACUUCAGUUUCUUUCAUCACUGCCGCUUUUCUGUUAGUGAAGAAAACUCUUUGAUCAUCACCAAUUCAACAUGAGAGCUAAGUGGAAGAAGAAGCGUAUGAGGAGAUUGAAGAGGAAGCGCCGAAAGAUGAGGCAGAGAUCUAAGUAAAAUGUAUCUCACAGUUCCUAAUGGUGUUUAGUUUUAUGUUGUUUAAGUUUUAGUUUGAAAUGCAGUAACAAUGACUGGUGAUUUUGUCCUAGUCGCACCGAAUUCAGAUUUUGAUAUUCGUUUUUGGGUUGUGGUAUUUUUUUCAUUAUUA
This is a long non-coding RNA of Lycium barbarum (goji berry), 407 nucleotides long. RefSeq lists it as uncharacterized. The transcript is spliced from 2 exons. NCBI's taxonomy places the organism in Eukaryota, Viridiplantae, Streptophyta, Magnoliopsida, Solanales, Solanaceae. The record is from RefSeq and is a predicted model, not a curated record.